UUAAGCGAUGGGGUGACGCAGGAAGGUAGUCCAGCCCAGGCGAUGGUUGUCCUGGGGUAAGCAUGUAGGGCGGAACGUAGGUAAAUCCGCGUUCUAUUCAGCCUGAGAUGUGAUGCCGAGCCGAUUGUGGUGAAGUGGAUGAUCCUAUGCUGCCGAGAAAAGCCUCUAGUGAGUGUUGUGGCGGCCCGUACCCUAAACCGACUCAGGUGGUCAGGUAGAGAAUACCAAGGCGAUCGGGUGAACUGUGGUUAAGGAACUCGGCAAAUUGCCCCCGUAACUUCGGGAGAAGGGGGACCUCUGCUGGUGAUGGGCUUUACGUUCUGAGCUGGUGGGGGUCGCAGUGGCCAGGGGGAAGCGACUGUUUACUAAAAACACAGGUCCGUGCGAAGUCGUAAGACGAUGUAUACGGACUGACGCCUGCCCGGUGCCGGAACGUUAAGGGGACCGCUUAGCCAACGCGAGUUGGCGAAGGUGAGAACUUAAGCGCCGGUAAACGGCGGUGGUAACUAUAACCAUCCUAAGGUAGCGAAAUUCCUUGUCGGGUAAGUUCCGACCUGCACGAAUGGCGUAACGACUUCCCCGCUGUCUCAACCACAGACCCGGCGAAAUUGCACUACGAGUAAAGAUGCUCGUUUCGCGCAGCAGGACGGAAAGACCCCGGGACCUUCACUACAGCUUGACAUUGGCGUUUGGAACGUCUUGUGUAGGAUAGGUGGGAGACUGGGAAGCUGUCACGCUAGUGAUGGUGGAGUCAUUGGUGAAAUACCACUCUGGUCGUUUUGAACGUCUAACUCUGGUCCGUGAUCCGGAUCGGGGACAGUGUCUGGUGGGUAGUUUAACUGGGGCGGUUGCCUCCUAAAGAGUAACGGAGGCGCCCAAAGGUUCCCUCAGCCUGGUUGGCAAUCAGGUGUUGAGUGUAAGUGCACAAGGGAGCUUGACUGUGAGACUGACAGGUCGAGCAGGAGCGAAAGCUGGACUAGUGAUCCGGCAUCGGCGUGUGGAAGCGGUGUCGCUCAACGGCUAAAAGGUACCCCGGGGAUAACAGGCUGAUCUUCCCCAAGAGUCCAUAUCGACGGGAUGGUUUGGCACCUCGAUGUCGGCUCGUCGCAUCCUGGGGCUGGAGUAGGUCCCAAGGGUUGGGCUGUUCGCCCAUUAAAGCGGUACGCGAGCUGGGUUUAGAACGUCGCGAGACAGUUCGGUCCCUAUCCGCUGCGCGCGCAGGAGACUUGAAGGGGGCUGUCCCUAGUACGAGAGGACCGGGACGGACGAACCUCUGGUGUGCCAGUUGUACCGCCAGGUGCACGGCUGGUUGGCUACGUUCGGAAGGGAUAACCGCUGAAAGCAUCUAAGCGGGAAGCUCGCCUUGAGAUGAGGUCUCCCACCCCGUGAGGGGGUAAGGCUCCCGGUAGAUCACCGGGUUGAUAGGCCGGAGGUGGAAGCACGGUAACGUGUGGAGCUGACCGGUACUAAUAGGCCGAGGACUUGACCAC
This 1490-nucleotide ribosomal RNA is filed under the name metagenome. RNAcentral's name for it is "bacterial LSU rRNA". It matches the Rfam family "Bacterial large subunit ribosomal RNA", at positions 1457 to 2925 of the family's 2925-position model. The record is from RNAcentral.